UUUCUUCUGGUAUAGCUUCAGAAAGGACAAGAAGAGUACCAGAGUCUGAUAUAAGUGUGGUGAAUCUUCUGAGGGAGACAGAUUCUCUCUCCAUGGAGGCUAUUGCUAGUGAAGAUCCUUUUACCUCUGAGUUGAGCUCACAAAGUUCAACCAACACUCAGAAUGAGAGAUCAAAUGCGAGGGUAGGGAGCCGCGAGGACAACAAUCUAUCUGCUUUUGGUGCUUCUGGUCCAUCCUCUGCUGCUUCUAGAAUGAGGGGGAACCAAGAAGAGCCAAGGAGAAUGCCUGUGCAAUAUACGCCUUCAUCGUAUCAGGUUCAAGCUACUUCGCCACAACAAAUGACCUAUCCGAGGAUGGGUGGUGGUACACACGACAUGAUGCAGAACCUGCCUAGGAUUGCAACUGGAGAGGUACAUUCGAGUUUCCAAUCUCCUCACGGUUUGACAUCGCCUCCUAUGUAUACAUCAACAGCUGCAUAUAUGACAUCUCUGAGCCCGUUUUACAAUCAUAACUUUCAGUCCUCGGGUAUGUACCUCCCUCAGUAUGGUUAUAGCGGUUACCCUCCUGCCUCUGGUGUUGUCCCUCAGUAUAUGAGUGGAUACCCAUCUCAUGAAGCCACUGUUCCUAUGCCAUAUGAUAUCUCAUCGCCUUCUUCGGGCUACAACAACUCCUUCUCUCGUGAAUCCUUUUCACCUACUGCACAGAACACUCCUCUUCAAUCUGUUUGGUGAGAUUGGGCACCAACUUGAUCACCUCAUCAGCCUCUUCCACACGCUUACGCAGGCGUUCGAUCUCCUCCUGGACGCCUAUUACCCAAGGCUGACGAUAAUGAAAUCCAUCAGCCUUGGGGACAACAAAAAAAAACAUCAGACAACAUAAAAAAAAAAUUCUAUACUAAUAUAUGCGUCUGUUGAGGUAUCUCUUACCUCGUAGUUUAUGCAGCUGAAGAAGCGCUUCCCAGGAUGAGUGUCGUGCUCCUCCUUCACCCGAACCUCGUCAAUGAUUCUCCCACCACAGGGACAUCUUCUAGGAAUCCCAUAUUCAGAAUCUGCGACGUAUCCCAACAUGUUGCAGUACUCCUGAUGCCUCUUUGUAUCUCUUCUCUCCUCUGCGGGAUCCAUCUGAACCAGACAAGCAAACGGCUUACAACAAAAUCACAAAAUUAUAUCAUGAACGGAACCCAUAAUGGAACCCACUAUUCGAUAACAAAACGCUUCGAUCUAACCCAAAAUGAAACCCAGAUGACGAUUCGGAACCCUAGAAUCGAAACCCCCAAAACUCGAGUUUGAACCCUACCUCCAAUACCCCACUAAUCGACAACUAAACGGUUCGAUCUUACCCAAAAUGUAACCCAGAUGACGAUUUGGAACCCUAGAAUCGAAACCCCCAAAAUCGAGUUUGAACCCUAAUUUGAGAACCCCACUAAUCGACAUCAAAACGCUUCGAUCUAACGGGUAUUCACUCGACACACACCUAUUCUCGUCGAGGAGACACUCCGUCGUCGAUUCGAUGGAGAAAAGUGGAGAAACGUGAAGAAAAAUCAAAAUCGCUCGAGAGUUCGCCUCUCGGGAGAAAACCCUAGUCUUUUCUGGAAAAUGAGAAAAUGAAUUUCUCUCUGUUUUCGUCGUCGUGACGUCAACAACGCGGCGCCAAUGGAACCGUGACACCUGGCGUGAACCCGCCUCAUACCGAAUCACUUGUAAGAAGCGGGUCGCGGAAAUAAACCCAUUAAAACAUUUCUUUUUCCUAUUCGGGCCUAUGAACCCGAGCCCAUGAACCCCAUUACAACCUUCAAUGUGGAUGCUCUAAAAACUAUAAAUGAGAACAUUAUAAAUCUGAAUACUUCUUCUGUUUUUAAAGAUUAUUACUCGUAUAAUUCUUGUAAAAAUUCUAAUUAGUGGCUAAAAAGAAAAGAAGAAAAAUAAACAAAAGUGUGUAUUGUGUGUAUUUUGGUGGUAGCGAGCAAACAGGCAACAGAGACAGAGCCACGUGAACGUAUCUCUUUCAAUUACAAGUCUCAACACGUGUCGAACCUAGUCAUCACUUUUAGAACAAAUUGACGAAAAAGGGCUUGCGGUACCACCAUUAUCAAAACCAUACAGGGGGUGUUCCAGUCAUUACCUAGUUAAGAGGACGUCUUCGUGUGCGAAUCCGUCGUGAUUCUUAAUUAAGUUUUGGUUAAUGUUUUGUUAAAAUACGUAAAAAUUAAAGAUUAACAUCCCAAUAAUUGCCUUUAGAAAUUAAAGAAAAAAAACAUUAACUCUUGACUUGGUGACUCGACGAAAGCCUUGGAGACAAACUUUUCAAAGGGGUUAGUUUUAAUCUCUCUGGGUCUCAUCUCAUCGCUGCAACAAUUUCAUAUCAAGAAAAAAAAACACUUUCAUGGAGGCUUAAACAUCACCACCAUCAGGUAACUCUUUAACUCUUAGCUUCAGCCUAAGUUUUUGUGUUCUUUCACAAGUUAUGCAAGGAGCUAGUUUUAAAUGAAUAAAGAAGGAUAAAGUGAAGUUUCUGUUUAUUAGAAUUUUGAUCCUCGGUUAUAUAUGGGACUUUUACUCUUUGUAACGAGGUUGAUGAACGAGUCCAGUACUUUUAAAAAGAUGAUCCUUGUAAGUUCUUGCUGAUGGUUGUUUGGGUUGACUAAACUUUUUUAGCUUGUGAAAUGGUAGAAUCGUGUCUGAAAUUUUUCGAUCCUUGAUUGUCGAUUACACAUAGACUCAAAAAUAAACGUUGAUCAUUGAAAGUUUGGGAUCAAGUUCUCAGCUUUUUGAUUCUCUUAUGGACUAAGGUUUUAGCUUUACCCUUUUUGGGUUAGGUAGUAUUAUUAUUAUGUAAUCAAUCACCUUGUCUGAAAAUUUUGAAUUUGUUUUGGUUGAUGUAUAGAAAGUAUGACGACGCAGAGCGCUAUGAGGAUGGUGGAAGGUGAUCAUGUAAAAAGUUGGCAGGCUUCCUCUAGGGAUACUAGUGGGAUAUUUGGUUCACAUGAUAUGGCUGUUGAAGAUUUAAGGUUCCUUAUGGAAAGAAAUAGAUUGGAUAGUAGUGGAAGUGAUCAUACAGGUAAGAUCCCUAGUAGGAGUGGAAGCGCGCCGCCUAGCAUGGAAGGUUCAUUUGCAGCUCUUAGGAAUCUCUUGAAACAUCAGGAAGGUAGUUUUAGUAGGUCUAUUGAGAAUUAUGGCUCUGAAGAAGAGAUACGUAGCGAUCCUGGUUAUGUAGCUUACUAUUUGUCCAACAUCAACCUGAAUCCGAGGCUCCCUCCUCCGUUGAUCUCACGUGAGAAUCAGCACUUGCUGCGUCAUUUGGGUGGUGAUGGUAAUAACCUGAGUCCAACAGCGUCUUGGGAUGAUAUGGGGAUAAGAUCUUCCUUGCUUGCUUCUAGAACUGCGCUUUCUACACAUAGAGAGGAGCCUGAGGACGAGGCUUCUUCUGGUGAGCAACUGACUUAUGCUUCUUUGCCUGGUCGUCGUAAGAGCUUUGCUGAUAUCAUUCAGGUACUGCUUGAUUCUAUCACUUGUUUCUAAAAAUAUUAAGGAAGAUUCUCUCUUUUAACACUUUCUUUUGUGUUCAAGCGGCCUCAUUCGGCAGGGAACCAUCCAAUAGCAGAAGACAUCCAUGCCAUUUCUUCUGGUAUAGCUUCAGAAAGGACAAGAAGGUUACCAGAGUCUGAUGUAAGUUCGGUGAAUCUUCUGAGGGAGACAGAUUCUCUCUCCAUGGAGGCUAUUGCUAGUGAAGAUCCUUUUACCUCUGAGUUGAGCUCACAAAGUUCAACCAACACGCAGAAUGAGAGAUCAAAUGCGAGGGUAGGGAGCCGCGAGGACAACAAUCUAUCUGCUUUUGGUGCUUCUGGUCCAUCCUCUGCUGCUUCUAGAAUGAGGGGGAACCAAGA
Molecule: long non-coding RNA, 3883 nt
Filed under: Brassica napus (rape)
Lineage: Eukaryota; Viridiplantae; Streptophyta; Magnoliopsida; Brassicales; Brassicaceae
Description: long non-coding RNA (BNAP_LNC017744)
Source: RNAcentral